CAGGAUUACUUGCUUCCCUGCAAGGCUGGUUUCUUGGAGUUCCUAGAACAUUCCAGCAAGGCUGAAAUGCUCUUUGACUUUCAGCGGUGACAGGUGUUCACUCUGUGUCCUUGUAGUCCCUGGCUCCCAGGGGUGCUGUGUGCUGGCUUCCCCCGGCAGGUGCCAGGCCUGCUGGUGGUCACAGGAUGGCCCAGGAAGCUGCCUUCCUGAAGCGGCAUCAGAAGGGCCUUGGGUGGGAAGCUGGCUGCUGGGCUUGAGACAACCCUGGCCCUAGAGAGUGUGGCAAGGCUGGGGCUCUGUCAGCAGCUCACCGAGGGUCUCCCCUCUUUCAGAAGCUCCAGGACCCCUUUGUCUGAACAGCCCCGUUACAGGAAAAAGCUAAGCCUGUGCGAUGUCCCUUGGUGUCAGGGGACAGGACAGAAAGCAAAGACCCGGAGGGUAGAUACGGAGUCCCGCGUGCCAGCCACUCAGGUUCCCACAACAGUCCCAUCUUCCUGAAGCCCUGCUGCUGCGUGCUGUGGA
Molecule: long non-coding RNA, 522 nt
Organism: Lutra lutra (Eurasian river otter)
Lineage: Eukaryota; Metazoa; Chordata; Mammalia; Carnivora; Mustelidae
Exons: 3
Source: RefSeq, a predicted model, not a curated record